CCAGACGGGAUGCAUGAUCUGCAUGGCAUUGAUUUAAUGCUUCAGUAUCUAGACAACAGAAGAGUUUUGGUUGGAUAAUCAAGCCUGUUUUACCCCUGAUACUUUGCAUGGGAACUCAAGCCAGAAAAAGCAAUCCAGUUCCUUUCAAGUUUAAUAGCAUAGUUAGUGCAAAUAGCUGGGACUGUAUGAAUAACAAACUAUUUUCUACAUCCGCAACAAGAUGAAAGAACUAUCCCUUCCACAUAAAAGAGCAUUACAAGCAAACAUAAGAAAAUCGGAUGUGCACACAACAGUAAAAAAACAUGUACACACAACUGCAUAGAGCGUACCUGAGAUGCUCUCGCCAGCUCCAAUGUAGAUGCUCUCGCCAGCUCCAAUGUAGGUGCAGUGAAUAUGCAAGCACUACAUACAAUAUAUAAGAGUGAGUGUAUCAUCUUAGCAAACCGGCAAUUAUAGUGUUUAUUAAUUGUUUUCCUUGGGAUUUUGCUGUUUUUGAAGAUUUAAUUCGUAGAUGCCAGUUAAGGCACAGACCAUUAUGAUGCAUCAAGUUUUGGAUUGAUAAAUCUGUGCCAUGUUGACCAUACCUCUCCCAAAUAUGUGCAAUGUUUGUCAAAAUAAAAUGUUUGGCUAUAUUGUUCUUUUUGAAGUAGAAUAGAAAGAUCAAUUGCCUUUAGGGCUGUUCUUAUGAGCUGUUCAAGAGCCCAGAUUACCAUUAUUGGAGUGUCAGGCACUGAUAGUAAUGGACCCAUAUAGAACCAAUCAGUUUAUAUAUGCAAAUACAUAGAGAAGAAUGUCUUCUACAUGAGUACUGUCCUCACACUGUCACCUUCAGUUCUACAAAUGUGUCAAUUAAUCUGAAAGGAACAUAACCUACUCUAGGAAGCUAUUGUUUUGCCUGUAUAAAUUAUCAAUGUCUAUUGAAAGUGGCAAUCAACUACUCAAAUGAUGAUACUGGAUGAUACAGAAUAAUCAACUACUCAAAUGAUGAUACUGGAUGCAGGUAUAUGUUUUUAUGGCAUAAUGGGAAGCAUGUUUUUUGCAACAAGUUGGAUCGCAAACCCGAAUUUAAUUGAAAUAUCUGCAUAUCAGGAAGAAAACAAUAAUAAACUUGGCAAAAAGCAUUUCAUAAAUUUAGUACACAUUUGGGAGUUCAGAUUAUAAAGUCUGUGCUUACAGGUACGUAUGGGGAAUCCACAAAGCAAAGCAGCAGAAAAUAUGACAUCGAUGGCUGUACCUCCAGGUAUAUAUUAACCUAAAAAUCUUGCUAUACAUGUCAAGCUAGAUCCCAAUUGUG
This 1294-nucleotide long non-coding RNA is filed under the name Triticum aestivum (bread wheat). RNAcentral's name for it is "long non-coding RNA (TAES_LNC002340)". Lineage: Eukaryota; Viridiplantae; Streptophyta; Magnoliopsida; Poales; Poaceae. The record is from RNAcentral.